This 85-nucleotide transfer RNA is filed under the name Anaerolineaceae bacterium. RNAcentral's name for it is "tRNA-Leu". It matches the Rfam family "tRNA". From Rfam's summary of the family: Transfer RNA (tRNA) molecules are approximately 80 nucleotides in length. Their secondary structure includes four short double-helical elements and three loops (D, anti-codon, and T loops). Lineage: Bacteria; Bacillati; Chloroflexota; Anaerolineae; Anaerolineales; Anaerolineaceae. The record is from RNAcentral.
GGGGAAGUGCUGGAAUUGGCAGACAGGCAUGACUUAGGAUCAUGUGCCGAAAGGCGUGCGGGUUCGACCCCCGCCUUCCCUACUA